UACGUAGGUGGCGAGCGUUGUCCGGAAUUACUGGGCGUAAAGGGCGCGUAGGCGGUUAAUUAAGUCAGGUGUGAAAACUGUGGGCUCAACCCAGAGACUGCAUCUGAUACUGGAUAACUUGAGUGCAGGAGAGGGCAGUGGAAUUCCUAGUGUAGCGGUGAAAUGCGUAGAUAUUAGGAGGAACACCAGUGGCGAAGGCGGCUGCCUGGACUGUAACUGACGCUGAGGCGCGAAAGCGUGGGGAGCGAACAGG
RNAcentral lists this ribosomal RNA (253 nucleotides) under uncultured bacterium. RNAcentral describes it as "partial 16S ribosomal RNA". It matches the Rfam family "Bacterial small subunit ribosomal RNA", at positions 524 to 776 of the family's 1533-position model. The record is from RNAcentral.